CCAUUUCUUUCAACCAGUAGCUAUGUUGACAAGCAUUAAUCACCAUUGAUGAUUUGCUCCAGAUCUGAGCGACAAAAAUAGUAGUAUAGAUCAGGCGUUCGGACGGAACGCGGCGGGGAAGUCGGCGAAUGGAGCCGCAGGCUGAGGAGAGAGGGAGGAGGGAAAGAAACUGUCGGUGGAAAGUCGGGGAUGGAGGCUGGGUCGGCGAUGUGCUCGCGAGGGAGAGCGAAAUGAGGGCGCCCAUCCGUGGAGAUGUUGGGGAAACAGCUGCAGAACUGGUGGCGGCAACGCUACAACAGCCAUGGAGAAGGGGGAGAAAAAGGGAGAGAGAAAAGGCGGUGGGCGGUGGGCGG
RNAcentral lists this long non-coding RNA (353 nucleotides) under Daucus carota (carrot). Its description in RNAcentral is "long non-coding RNA (DCAR_LNC006796)". Lineage: Eukaryota; Viridiplantae; Streptophyta; Magnoliopsida; Apiales; Apiaceae. The record is from RNAcentral.